UCCCCCUUUUAAUCAGUGAAACUGAUCUCCCCGUGAAGAAGCGGGGAUAACUAUAUAAGACGAGAAGACCCCAUGGAGCUUUAAACCCAGCAACACCUAUCUUUAUACACCCUUAUAUUCACGUAACUCUACUUGCUCGGUUUUAGGUUGGGGUGACCGCGGAGCACAACAAAACCUCCACGAAAAAAGGACCAACAAUCCUUAUCCAAGAUGCACAUAUCUAAGAAUUAAUAUAUUAACUUUUAAUGAUCCGUUAUUCGAUCAACGAACCAAGUUACCCUGGGGAUAACAGCGCAAUCUACCUCGAGAGCUCCUAUCGACAGGUAGGUUUACGACCUCGAUGUUGGAUCAGGGUAUCCCAGUGGUGCAGCAGCUACUAAAGGUUCGUUUGUUCAACGAUUAAAACCCU
Molecule: ribosomal RNA, 409 nt
Filed under: Boophis tasymena
Lineage: Eukaryota; Metazoa; Chordata; Amphibia; Anura; Mantellidae
Description: partial 16S ribosomal RNA
Rfam family: Bacterial large subunit ribosomal RNA
Source: RNAcentral